GACGACAACGCAAGCAUCGAAGCUCGCCGUCGACCAACGAACCGAGUGCAUCCAUCCCAAUACCUCGCGCGUGAAGAAGAUCCGUACCGCCGGUCACCACGGCAUCUUCCUUCUCUCCUUCUCUCUUGCCCCAGUCGGUGGUGGUGGCCAACACAGCAGCGGCAUCUGGCUUUCUCUCUCCAUCUCUCAGUUUGAUCUCUCCGCUGCUUGCUCGGAGGCCUCACGAGUCUCGACGAUGGCCGAGGGAGUCACAACCCGCGUAUAUUUAUACGCCCCAGAACUAAAGGAGAUAGGAUCGGCUAGCAAGGAUCACGUAUAUGUGA
This 323-nucleotide unclassified non-coding RNA is filed under the name Zea mays. Its description in RNAcentral is "misc RNA Zm00001eb109120". Lineage: Eukaryota; Viridiplantae; Streptophyta; Magnoliopsida; Poales; Poaceae. The record is from RNAcentral.